CGUAGCAGCUUUUGAUCAUGUAUUUAUUAUUAUUUAUGGUUAGAUGGGCCGCAGGCCGGUCCAAAUUUAUUAGAGGGCUUGUUUUGGCCCGCGGGCCGCCAGUUGAAUAGCCCUGGUCUAAAAAGUAACUACCUUUUGAGGAGUUUAGG
Molecule: long non-coding RNA, 149 nt
Organism: Thalassophryne amazonica
Lineage: Eukaryota; Metazoa; Chordata; Actinopteri; Batrachoidiformes; Batrachoididae
Exons: 3
Source: RefSeq, a predicted model, not a curated record